GGUGCCGGCCCAGGUGGCAGGCGCGCCCGUUGGGCACUGGGGGACGCGGGCGCGUCAGGUGAAGACUGGGGGCUGCAGGCGCGCUAGGAGAACUAUGCCAUUUUUGGGUCAGGACUGGAGAUCUCCUGGAUGGAGUUGGAUUAAGACAGAAGAUGGCUGGAAGAAUUGUGAAUCUUGUAGUCAGAAACUUGAAAGAGAGAAUAACCAUUGUAACAUCAGUCACAGCAUUAUCUUAAAUAGCGAAGAUGGAGAAAUACUCAAUAAUGAAGAGCAUGAAUAUGCAUCCAAAAAAAGAAAAAGGACCAUUUUAGAAAUGACACAAAUACUCAAAGUUUUUAUCAUGAAAAAUGGAUCUAUGUCCAUAAAGAAAGCACAAAAGAAAGGCAUGGCUAUUGCACCUUGGGAGAAACCUUUAAUCGGUUAGACUUCUCAAGUGCAAUUCAAGAUACCCGAAGGUUCAAUUAUGUGGUCAAACUGCAGGACAAAUUCGAGCAUCUUAAAAUGAUUCAACAGGAGGAGAUAAGGAAGCUCGAGGAAGAGAAAAAACAACUGGAAGGAGAAAUCAUAGAUUUUUAUAAAAUGAAAGCUGCCUCUGAAGCACUGCAGACUCAGCUGAGCACUGAUACAAAGAAAGACAAACAUCCUGAUCCAUAUGAAUUCCUCUUAUUAAGAAAAAUAAAGCAUCCAGGAUUCAAUGAAGAACUGACUAUCACCUUGUUAAUCAUUCAGAAACAUGUUGCAGACUUAAGCCAUUUUUGAUAUAGAUACUGAAACAAUUACUUGCUAAGAGCAAACUUGAAGACCAAACCAAUGCAGACCAAACCAAUGCAGAACUCCUAUGUGCUGAUGGUGGUCUUACAUUUCCCUAAGUUUCUGCCGACUAAACUGUGCACACGUUCUCAGGACCUCCUGAAGCUGCGUCACAGGCACUAAUCAAAGAACACAACCAAGAGUUUGGCCUUUUCUUCAGCACUGGGAAUUGUGAUCCAAAGCUUUUCCUGAUGAAGCACAAAGUUGGAGAAAAAAAAGCAAACUAAACAACAACAAUGAAACAGAACAGAGUUAAUCUGCUGUAGCUCAAGAGAGGAUGUACCUGCCCCCACCCCGCAUCCCUGGGCUCGGGUUUGCCUUGCUGACCUCUGCUGCCACCUGGUGCCACACAGAGAAACUGAGGAGAAACCACAUCAGUCUCCUUCAGCCUCAGCUUCACAUCUGUGGGUCAAGUAACCCUUUCAGAAGCUGAAUAAUGUGGGAAAGCUUUCCUCUCAGGAAAAUGCACACAUCCAACUUUGAGAAGAUGCCCUUGGGGGUGCUUCAAGGAUCCUAGAUAAAGAACCCCCUUUCCCGAACAUCCAAGAACCUAAGUUUUUUUUUUUUUUUUUGAGAAAGUCUCGCUCUCUCUCCCAGUCUGGAGUGCAGUGGCGUGAUCUUGGCUCACUGCAAGCUCCACCUCCCAGGUUCACGCCAUUCUCCUGCCUCAGCCUCCCGAGUAGCUGGGGCUACAGGCACCUGCCACCAAACCCGGCUAAUUUUUUUGUAUUUUUAGUAGAGACGGGGUUUCACCGUGUUAGCCAGGAUCGUCUUGAUCUCCUGACCUUGUGAUCCACCCGCCUCGGCCUCCCAAAUUGCUGGGAUUACAGAUGUGAGCCACCGCACCUGGUCCAAGAACCCAAGUUUUAGAUCUAGAGUGAUGUCAGCAUGACAUUGAUUUCCUGAGGCCCAGGGUCGAAGGAGCUGAGGACAGCAGAGGGGUGAAGGAACUCAGCUACAGACAGCAGCAGCUGAUGCACAGGGCUCCCAGCGCCUGAAGUCACCCGGAAUUGGGAAGUGCUCAGAAGCUUACAAAGCUGCCUCGAGCAGAAGAAUCCCAGACUUCUUAGAGAACCCAGUGACUUUUUGCACCUUAAAUCUGUGAAAUCCUCAUGCUUUCUUCUGCCGUAUCCAUCGUUCAAACAAACAUGAGGCAAAGCUAGACACAUUCCUGAAGGAACCCAAGAAAUUCCUCUCUUUCUCUCUCUGGAAUGAAAUGAAUUCUCUAGACCACCAGUUCUAACCUUCAAAAACCAAACCUGUUUGUGAGAUCUCCUUCAAAUACUACUGUAGACCCCAGUGUUUAUUCAUUAAAUUUUUUAAAUAUU
Molecule: long non-coding RNA, 2138 nt
Organism: Homo sapiens (human)
Lineage: Eukaryota; Metazoa; Chordata; Mammalia; Primates; Hominidae
Source: Ensembl